Molecule: ribosomal RNA, 497 nt
Filed under: uncultured bacterium
Lineage: Bacteria
Description: partial 16S ribosomal RNA
Rfam family: Bacterial small subunit ribosomal RNA
Source: RNAcentral
GAUGAACGCUGGCGGCGUGCCUAAUACAUGCAAGUCGAGCGAACGGACGAGAAGCGUGCUUCUCUGAUGUUAGCGGCGGACGGGUGAGUAACACGUGGAUAACCUACCUAUAAGACUGGGAUAACUUCGGGAAACCGGAGCUAAUACCGGAUGAUAUUUUGAACCGCAUGGUUCAAAAGUGAAAGACGGUCUUGCUGUCACUUAUAGAUGGAUCCGCGCUGCACUAGCUAGUUGGUAAGGUAACGGCUUACCAAGGCAACGAUGCAUAGCCGACCUGAGAGGGUGAUCGGCCACACUGGAACUGAGACACGGUCCAGACUCCUACGGGAGGCAGCAGUAGGGAAUCUUCCGCAAUGGGCGAAAGCCUGACGGAGCAACGCCGCGUGAGUGAUGAAGGUCUUCGGAUCGUAAAACUCUGUUAUUAGGGAAGAACAUAUGUGUAAGUAACUGUGCACAUCUUGACGGUACCUAAUCAGAAAGCCACGGCUAACUACGUG